AAAAAUGCGUUGAAGGGAAACAGUAGGUUCCAGAAAGCUUUCAGAGAGCUGCCGGCAGGUGCGAGGCAGCAGCGGAAUGGAAGUGAACUCGUCUCUAAGCAGCCAGCUGAAAUGCCAUGGGCAGAGUAGGCGGGGCCGGGGCCUGGCCGUUAACAGACAGGAGGGUAUCGACACGAGUCCGUACCUGUAAAGAGCAUAUCCUUUGGGAUAUGAAUAAGAGUGGUAACGCGCGAGUAAAUCUUUCGUCUCUUCU
This 253-nucleotide non-coding RNA is filed under the name Megasphaera sp. Its description in RNAcentral is "T-box sequence". It matches the Rfam family "T-box leader". From Rfam's summary of the family: Uncharged tRNA acts as the effector for transcription antitermination of genes in the T-box leader family. T-boxes are found upstream of many aminoacyl-tRNA synthetase genes and some amino acid biosynthetic genes usually in Gram-positive bacteria. The anticodon of a specific tRNA base pairs to a specifier sequence within the T-box motif, and the NCCA acceptor tail of the tRNA base pairs to a conserved bulge in the T-box antiterminator hairpin. The record is from RNAcentral. Lineage: Bacteria; Bacillati; Bacillota; Negativicutes; Veillonellales; Veillonellaceae.